RNA transcript from Sapajus apella (tufted capuchin), 2977 nucleotides. It is a transcript of the gene named eukaryotic translation initiation factor 2 subunit 3 pseudogene, with no coding region annotated. The transcript has a single exon. The record is from RefSeq and is a predicted model, not a curated record. Lineage: Eukaryota; Metazoa; Chordata; Mammalia; Primates; Cebidae.
UUCUUGCUCUUUUGGCAAGAUGGCGGGAGGAGAUGCUAGAGUGACUUUGGGGCAGCCGCAUCUUUCGCGCCAGGAUCUCACCACCUUGGAUGUUACCAAGUUGACGCCACUUUCACACGAAGUUAUCAGCAGACAAGCCACAAUUAACAUAGGUACAAUUGGUCAUGUAGUUCAUGGGAAAUCCACAGUUGUCAAAGCUAUUUCUGGAGUUCACAUGGUCAGGUUCAAAAAUGAACUAGUAAGAAAUAUUACAAUCAAGCUUGGAUAUGCUCAUGCUAAGAUUUAUAAACUUGAUGACCCAAGUUGCCCUCGGCCAGAAUGUUAUAGAUCUUGUGGGAGCAGUACACCUGAUGAGUUUCCUACAGAUAUUCCAGGGACCAAAGGGAACUUCAAAUUAGUCAGACAUGUUUCCUUUGUUGACUGUCCAGGCCAUGAUAUUUUGAUGGCUACUAUGCUGAAUGGUGCAGCGGUGAUGGAUGCAGCUCUUCUGUUGAUAGCUGGUAAUGAAUCUUGCCCUCAGCCUCAGACAUCUAAACACCUAGCUGCUAUAGAAAUCAUGAAACUGAAACAUAUUUUGAUUCUACAAAAUAAAAUUGAUUUGGUAAAAGAAAGUCGGGCUAAAGAACAAUACGAGCAGAUUCUUGCUUUUGUCCAAGGUACAGUAGCAGAGGGAGCUCCCAUUAUUCCAAUUUUGGCUCAGCUGAAAUACAAUAUUGAAGUUGUUUGUGAGUACAUAGUAAAGAAAAUUCCAGUACCCCCAAGAGACUUUACUUCAGAGCCCCGCCUUAUUGUUAUUAGAUCUUUUGAUGUCAACAAACCUGGCUGUGAAGUUGACCUUAAGGGGGGUGUAGCUGGUGGUAGUAUCCUAAAAGGAGUAUUAAAGGUGGGCCAGGAGAUAGAAGUAAGACCUGGUAUUGUUUCCAAGGAUAGUGAAGGAAAACUCAUGUGUAAACCAAUCUUUUCCAAAAUUGUAUCACUUUUUGCGGAGCAUAAUGAUCUGCAAUAUGCUGCUCCAGGCAGUCUCAUUGGAGUUGGAACAAAAACUGACCCCACUUUGUGCCGGGCUGACAGAAUGGUGGGGCAGGUACUUGGUGUAGUCGGAACCUUACCUGAGAUAUUCACAGAAUUGGAAACUUCCUAUUUCCUGCUUAGACGGCUUCUAGGUGUACGCACUGAAGGAGACAAGAAAGCAGCAAAGGUACAAGAGCUGUCUAAGAAUGAAGUACUCAUGGUGAACAUAGGGUCCCUCUCUACAGGAGGGAGAGUCAGUGCUGUCAAGGCCGAUUUGGGUAAAAUUGUUUUGACCAAUCCAGUGUGCACAGAGGUAGGAGAAAAAAUUGCCCUUAGCCGAAGGGUUGAAAAACACUGGCGUUUAAUUGAUUGGGAUCAGAUAAGAAGAGGAGUGACAAUCAAGCCAACAGUGGAUGACUGAUGAACACCAGUUAAAUAAUACAUUUGGAUGGAGGUGGAAGAUGGAAUUUCUCUUAACAACCAAGGAAUUUACUUUCAAAGCAAUAUUGGGGAAUUUAUUUACAGUUUGUUACCUUAGUAGAUAGCUAUAAGAUUAUUCUCAUGUUUUUAGUUAUGAAGACUUAACUUAGGUACUGAAAUUAAUAUAAAAGUUGGCGUACUGUUGGAUUGAAUCUAUAUUUUGACAGAAGCAUUGCCAUAUAAUGUCACAAUUAUAUAUCAUGCAGUUUUGUUCUGCAUGUCUUGUUUUGUUUUGUUUUUGAGUCUGGCUUUGCCACCCAGGAUGGAGGGCGGUGGCCUGAUCUGCAACCUCUGCCUUCUGGGUUCAAGCAGUUCUCCUGCUUCAGCCUUCGAAGUAGCUGAGAUUACAGGUGUGUGCCACCACACCUGGUUAAUUUUUGUAUUUUUAGGAGAGACAGGGUUUUGACAUGUUGGCCAGGCUGGUCUCUCCUGACCUCAGGGUGAUCACCCCACCUCAACCUCCCAAAGUGCUGGGAUUACAGGCGUAAGCCACCUUGCCCCGCCCAUAUCAUACAGUAUGAAAUGAAUUUUUGCUACAACCAGCCUUUGCUGUAGCACACACACACACACACACACAUAUAUAUACACCACUGAAACUCAUUUUCAUGAUUCCUCUUUGAAUAGCUCCAAGCUGAUGGACUGUUGUACCAAUGAAAACUUAAAGAGACAGAUUCUCCUUGAAGACCUUCUCCCUUUUCUUUGGCCCCAUAUUUUAUAUUGCUUUAUCUUUGAAAUUUUGCAUGAAAAGGAAAUUAAUGGGUUCAAAUGAAAUUGUUCUUUAGAGAUUUUAGAAAUUGUUACUAUGGACAAAUCUUUUUCUUCCCUUGCUCUUCCUGGCCUGAAACACAGGAAACCAGAGUCAGAAGUUAUGUUUCUUUCCCUGUGAUGGCUUGAAAUUUUUUCAGCGUUGUUUUAUACCUGAAAUCCAAUAGUCUUCCUCUGUUGGAAAAUACUGUUAUACCAAAUAAUUCUAGAUGAGUAACAAAGAUCUUUCUAGGCCUUCAUUUUAUGUUUUUUCUUAACUGUUAUAUCAUGAUCAUAACACACAUUGUAAUACUACUAAUUUUUGAACAUUCCAAAAGGCCAAGAAGUAAAAGAUGUUAGAAAGCAAUAACUGAGUCAAGAUGCCCCACAGAGAUUCUGGUUUAAUUGUGAUUUAAUUGGCUUGGAGUAGAAUUCAGGCAUUUAACAACUCUCCUCAGUGUGGAGAAAUUUAGAGAGUUGAGAAGUAGGUAUAUUAAAUUAUAGAAUCUCUCUGAGUUUUGAUAGUCUGAUAAUACAGUUUGCUUUGCUUUUCUUAAAUUUGCAUUGAGAUGGGAUUUGAAACAUUGUGCUCUUUUGAGUGUUGAAGUUGCAUUGUAGAAGUUGAGAACCUCUGGCUAUGGGUUAUCUAAGUUGAUGUUGUGAGGACGCAUAUUAAUGUUAUAUACUUGGCUGACUUUGAAGGUUGUGUUGUAGCAUGAGGAACACAAACAAUUCUACAUCA